Ictalurus punctatus (channel catfish) is the source of this 433-nucleotide long non-coding RNA. Lineage: Eukaryota; Metazoa; Chordata; Actinopteri; Siluriformes; Ictaluridae. The record is from Ensembl.
GAUGUUCAACAUGAUUGAAGAAGAAAAGCGGUUUGUUUUUUUUUGUCUCUCUCUCUCUCUGUUUGGACAGCUCAGCUCUGUCACCGUGCUAAUCAUCUAAACGCAAUAUUCUGACAUGAUUUUGCAGCUAAAGUUAAAUCUGACAGUAGAGGAUCAAAUAUAAAAAUCCUUUAGUGUGUGUAUUUGAGGCGAUUAACUACGCUCCGAGAUUUGUGGGGAUAUGCAGACAGAAACUUGUACUGCUUCAUGUGAAAGGACACCAGACAUUUUGGGACAUAUCUCCCCUGUAGACUAUCAGAACCAUGUAAAAAAGGAACAACCUGAAGAUGAAGACUAUCCUUAUUGUGAAGAUUGCAGAUCCUUUUACAUCAACAAAUGUGAAGUUCACGGUCCAGCUCACUUCAUCAUUGAUACACCUGUUACUAUGGGGGUC